Castor canadensis (American beaver) is the source of this 376-nucleotide long non-coding RNA. RefSeq lists it as uncharacterized. The record is from RefSeq and is a predicted model, not a curated record. Lineage: Eukaryota; Metazoa; Chordata; Mammalia; Rodentia; Castoridae.
CAGGUCUGACGAUGUAGCUCAGACUGGCCUCCAACUUGCUGUGUAACCCAGGAUUGCCUUUAUCUCAUGCCCCUCCUGUCUUAGCCUCCUGAGUGCUGAAAUUACAGCACUGGAAUUUAAACUCAGGAUUCAGGGCCUCAUGCUUGGUAGGCAGGCAUUUUUACUGUUUGAGCCACUCCACCAGCCCCAUCCUUCAUCUUCAGAGACAGUAAUAUGAGUACCGCAGAGGAAACUUUAAUCAAAUUCUCAAAAGGUCUUGGAACCUACAAAAAGUUAAAUGUUAGCUGGGCAUGGUGGUAUAUGCUUGUAAUUCCAGUAUUCAGGAAGCAGAGGCAGGAGGAUCACAGUUCAAGACCAGCCUGGGUUACAUAGUGAA